This is a long non-coding RNA of Cyclopterus lumpus (lumpfish), 288 nucleotides long. RefSeq lists it as uncharacterized. The record is from RefSeq and is a predicted model, not a curated record. The transcript has 3 exons. Lineage: Eukaryota; Metazoa; Chordata; Actinopteri; Perciformes; Cyclopteridae.
CCCCCCCCCCCCCCAAAACUCCCAUAUUAGCCGGCGAUGUGUGUCUUACCACAGGCCCGCUGGGUCUCCACCGACGUCUCCGAGCUGGAAACAGUCAGACAAGAAGUUAAUAUUUCACGACCGGAGGAAGAGCUUCAUGUUGCAGCUGCAGACGGUAACAAGCACCUUGGAGGGAAUCUUUGGCGCCAGGAAGUAGAGCCGCCAUGUGCAGCGCAUCCGACUGCCCGACGCGCUUCCUGGAAGAAGCCCUCUGGACCGCGAUGAGGAUGAUGGGCGGCUGGAUGAGGG